Molecule: unclassified non-coding RNA, 254 nt
Filed under: Hevea brasiliensis (rubber tree)
Lineage: Eukaryota; Viridiplantae; Streptophyta; Magnoliopsida; Malpighiales; Euphorbiaceae
Source: RNAcentral
GGGCUAUGUAUCUAAUAAGCAAUCAGUUCCAACCACAUGUACUGAACAGCUAGAGUAGAACCGUCAUCAUGAAAGUGAAAAAAUGGUACAAGUCACUCCUCUUUCUACCACUACCACAAAUUAAAUGAGUAAAAGUAAAACAGCCUUAAUGGGAAAACUUACAAAGCUUUUGGGCGGUAAUAGAAGUGAUGAUCAAAUGAAUGAAUGAUGUGGAAAGUAAUCUUAUGGGGUGAUGAAAAACCAUUAGAUUGCUC